This is a long non-coding RNA of Eupeodes corollae, 335 nucleotides long. RefSeq lists it as uncharacterized. The transcript has 3 exons. The record is from RefSeq and is a predicted model, not a curated record. Lineage: Eukaryota; Metazoa; Arthropoda; Insecta; Diptera; Syrphidae.
GAUUAUGGCAUCUGUAACUGUGCUAUAUAAAAAUUAUCUUGCCAGUCCAUUUUUAUUCAAAUAAAAUGGUUCGAGAGUCAAUACCUUCAUUAGGAUAUUUUGUACAUAUGGAACUUAACCUAACAUCUGAAGGCUAUAACCUAAUUUCAAUAUCUUUCGUAAUAAAAUCAUAGGGAUACGAAAGUAAUAAAAAUGAAAGCAUUCAGUUCUAAUCGAGUUUAGUUUUAAAGGGACACAGUGUGAGCAUUAGGAAAGUUAGAAGGGUUUGAAAGGAGGCGUUGGAUUUUGAAUUCCUGAAUAUUGCAAUAACUAUAGAAUUAUAGAAUGCAGCUGGC